This is a long non-coding RNA of Homo sapiens (human), 1942 nucleotides long. Ensembl annotates it as long intergenic non-protein coding RNA 2028. The record is from Ensembl. Lineage: Eukaryota; Metazoa; Chordata; Mammalia; Primates; Hominidae.
CUUUUUUUUUUUUUUUUUUUUUUGCGAUGGAGUUUCACUCUUGUUGCCAAGGCAUUGGAGUUCAGUGGUGUAAUCUCGGUUCACUUCAACCUCUGCCUCCUGGGUUCAAGUGAUUCUCCUGCCUCAGCCUCCAGAGUAGCUGGGAUUACAGGUGUCUGCCACUAUGCCUGGCUAAUUUUUUGUAUUUUUAGUAGAGAGGGGGUUUUGCCAUUUUGGCCAGGCUAGUCUUGAACUCCUGACCUCAGGUGAUCCACCUACCUCAGCCUCCCAAGUGCUGGGAUGACAGGUGUGAGCCACCAUCCCCGGCCCCUUCCUUACUUCUAACCCAAUCUGGAUGUUGUACUUUUACAUACUUCUACCAUUGAGGGUUUGGAUCUAAGUCUCUUCCCCUUGAAUCUGGUUGGGCUUGUGACUGCUUUGACAAGCAGUACAGCAGAAGUGACUCUAUGUGAUUUCAAAGCUAGGUCAUAAAAAACCAUGUGGCUUCCAGCUUGUUCACUGUGUACUUGUUUUUGGAGCACUGACCUGCUGUGUAAGAAGUCCAACUGCCCUGAGGCCACCAGGCUGGAGAGACCAUGUAUGGAUAGGUUCUCUGAUCAACAGUUUCUAUCAAGCCCAGCCUUCUAGCCAUCAAGCCCAGCCUUCUAGCCAUGUCCACCAAUGUGCCUGACAUGUGAGUGAAGCCAUCACAGACCCUUCAGACCAGCCCACCUGCCAGCUGAAUACUUAUGAUGAAGGUUUAAGAAGCAGCAUCAUCAGCGAACUGUGUUUUGAAGAUUUGAGGGAAGGGCUGACCUCAGGAUUUUAUACUAGGUAUUUGAUGCAAUGCAGACUGGAAUCCUCCCCACAAGGAUGCCCUGGCCUGAGUGGCACAGAGAUCAAUGCAGCAGUCAUUUCCUGGGCGGGGAAAGCCCAUCCACAGUGGCCCUGGAAUGAUGCUGGUCUUACCUUCUAUUCCUAGGAAGGCCCUAUCUCAAGUGGCUCUGGUCCAUGCAAACAGAUGGAAACGGGUGUGGGGAAGCACAGGCCUCCUACUCAUGUUAAGAGAGCUGCUCAGAGGCAGGAAUCCAGAACCAGGAAUGUCCCCAGUGGCUGCCCAAGGUACAAGUGGCAGGCAGCGGGGAGAAUGGCAUGUGAAGUCAUUUGUAACCUGGCCCCAGCUUGGUUUCCAAGUCUCAGAGGAGAUUAUGGAUAUGGUAGUGCCUGGCUCAGUGCUUAAAAUCCAUUCUCCUGCUAUUUCCCUCACCUACACUCAGCCCCACAAGCCGAGAUGUUUGCUGGACAUUUCAGGCACUGCCACCCAGUUCUGUCUACCUUACCUGCUAACACCUGUUGACCAUCCUUCAUGUGAAGGCUUCCCCAAAUACUUCCCAAUCAAAACACUAAAAGGCAGACCUGAAAUUAAUAAAAAUGUUAAUUAAAUCUGUACAACAGAAAGCAUAAUGCCAGUCUUUUUAAUUAUGAAAUGUAGCAUUCAUAUAAAUUUCAUUGCUUUUGAAAACAAUCUAUGGCUAGAUUCUCCUGGGUUUGUAUGAUGAUUACUGAAAACUGUAGAAAAUCUAAAAUCAAGCAAGUUGUUUAUAGGCAAUUACUUUCAGAAGCAAAAAUUAUAAAAGAACCAUGAGAUUUUUAAAGAGAAAAAAUUACAUUUGAUAUGAGAUAAUCAUGCAUUUUAAGAUGUUUAAAAUGACAUGGAGUGGGGUCCCCAGACCAGGAGAGCUGAGGGCUUAUGAAGGACCUAAGGGAGUGAGACCUGUUAUGUAAUAAGCCCCCAUUCUGGGGGCAGCACCACAGAGGCGGGACCCCAGAAGUAGAAGAAGAGCCCUCCUGCACUGGGUGGUGAAGUUGGUAUCAGCCCCUAGUUUGUGACCCUGGACAGAUUUCUCUGCUCUCCAGCCCUCAGAGUCCUCAAUAAAACAAAAACAUAUGCAAAUAUACAAAA